CUACGGGUGGCUGCAGUGAGGAAUCUUGCGCAAUGGGGGAAACCCUGACGCUGCGACGCCGCGUGGGUGAUGAAGGCCUUCGGGUCGUAAAGCCCUGUCGAGAGGGAAGAAUUGCAUUUAGGUUAAUAGCCUAAUUGUUUGACGGUACCUCCAAAGGAAGCACCGGCUAACUCCGUGCCAGCAGCCGCGGUAAUACGGAGGGUGCAAGCGUUGUUCGGAAUCACUGGGCGUAAAGGGCGUGUAGGCGGCUGAGUAAGUCAGGUGUGAAAUCCCUCGGCUCAACCGAGGAAGUGCAUUUGAUACUGCUCAUCUUGAGUACUGGAGAGGGAGAUGGAAUUCCCGGUGUAGAGGUGAAAUUCGUAGAUAUCGGGAGGAACACCAGUGGCGAAGGCGAUCUCCUGGACAAAUACUGACGCUAAGGCGCGAAAGCGUGGGGAGCAAACAGGAUUAGAUACCCGAGUAGUC
Molecule: ribosomal RNA, 465 nt
Filed under: uncultured bacterium
Lineage: Bacteria
Description: partial 16S ribosomal RNA
Rfam family: Bacterial small subunit ribosomal RNA
Source: RNAcentral